This 389-nucleotide long non-coding RNA is filed under the name Canis lupus dingo (dingo). Its description in RNAcentral is "lncRNA (ENSCAFG00020018446.1)". Lineage: Eukaryota; Metazoa; Chordata; Mammalia; Carnivora; Canidae. The record is from RNAcentral.
ACGCUCUGACUUUGCUAAAAUCAACAAAUUGCACUGUCUGCAGCCGACCCCGGAGGCUCGACACCCGCCGCGGACCCCGCUGCGCCCCAAAAGGCGGCCCAGGAGCCCGAGGGCUCUACCCCGCAUGGAGAGGACCAGAGCCCACUGAAAUCCCUGGUAAGCAGAGGUCUCACGCUCGCGGGACAUGGCCUAGAAGGAGCAGAAAAAAGGCUGGAUAAGGGACGUCAAUUCAGGAAAAAUCUUUAUGACCGUGGAGCCGAAUUUGGACGAAAUCUGAAAAAGCUUGUUCCACAAUUCAAUUAGAUGGAGUCUGAGACGCCGAAGAGGAGGGGUCCCAGGACUCCAGGCCUCAGCUGCGCCGCAGCCCCCGGUGAUUAAACUAAAGCAUC